RNAcentral lists this ribosomal RNA (264 nucleotides) under uncultured archaeon. RNAcentral's name for it is "partial 16S ribosomal RNA". It matches the Rfam family "Archaeal small subunit ribosomal RNA", at positions 717 to 982 of the family's 1478-position model. The record is from RNAcentral.
AGACGUCUACAUUAGAUACCCGUGUAGUCCCAGCCGUAAGCUAUGCGCGUUAGGUGUAUCGGUGACCACGAGUUACCGAGGUGCCGAAGGGAAACCGUGAAACGUGCCGCCUGGGAGGUACGGUCGCAAGGCUGAAACUUAAAGGAAUUGGCGGGGAGCACCACAACGGGUGGAGCCUGCGGUUUAAUUGGACUCAACGCCGGGAAGCUCACCGGAUAAGACAGCGGAAUGAUUGCCGGGCUGAAGACUCUGCAUGACUAGCUG